CAAAGAGCCUCUAAUUAUGAAUUGCCCUCCUAGGUAGAAAUGCCUUGUAAGAGAGUAAUAAAUGUACAAGAGCAUCCAGUCUACUCAAUAGUUGUAUUGUUUGUUGUUAAGCAAUAAGUUGGCGCUUAAUGGGUCAAUGCCCUAAAAUUGGAUUACUUUGGUGGAUGCUAACAUCGAAUUUUCUGAGUCUAGAAAGGUUUAGAGGCAACAUAAUCUAGUAGCUGAAAUAUAGAUUCUUGAGCCAGACUGCUUGGAUAUGGAUCCCGGCAUUACUACUUACCAGCUAUGUGACUUUGGGAGAACUUGCUAAUUGAAGUUGAAGGAUUAAACAUCCUCCUGAAAGCUUUCAAGCUAAUGAGGUAACAAAAGCCCAGAGAACAAAAUUUAAGCAAAGCAAGUUAGUUCUUGAAAUGAAACUCUUGAAACUCCAACUUGAGAAGAAAAAGAAUCAGGAAGAGAAAAAACUAGAAAAAGAAAAAAUGACGGAUUAUGAGAUACUUAUGAAAGGAAGUAUUUUUUUGUUUUUAUAUUUAGCUUUUUCAUUUACAUGCACUGCAUAGAUUGUACUAUGGUUCUGAAGUUGUAAAAUAUGUCUCUUCCUUACGUCUCUUCUCUCACUGCUUGAAAAUGUAAAAAAGAGAUAACUCCCCUUGCCUUUGUCUUACAUGUGCAGGAUUGCAAACUCAGAUGCCUACUUGGCCAACCCCAGAGAGGGCUGUCCAAAGUUGGGGGACACGUGGCCAUGAAAGGGGCUGCAGAGACUAGUUAAACUUGUUACUGUGCGAACUCUGCCGGCUGUUGCCUUUCCUUGGCUUCCUUCUCAACUCCAUGUGUACAGACCUGCCCCAAAGAUCUAUUCAUUAAUCAUUCACUCAAAAAUACAGCCUGAGCGCUUCCUAUAUUGCUGAGUCAUGCCUUCAAGGGUACAUCAUCACAAUCAGUUACCACAGAACAAAGAGAGGUUCCGAGCUGGCGAGUGUGUGUGACGCUGGACAGUCAGGCCUGUCACCUGUCCAAAUACUAAGCAUCUUCUCUUGAGCCCUUAACCCCAUUUCUGCUGGCUCACAAAGAGGAAAGCAACCACAUUCUUACAAUCAGUCUUCACUCUAUCCAUACUGAUGGCCUGAGCAAGAGAGGAAGCAGGGGCCCAGACUGGUCAUUUCCAAAGUGGGAUGCACACUCCUGGCGUAGGAGGGGAGCAAGACGUCCCAUUUGGUGUGGAAACUGCUACUAGAAAAUUUCUACUAAUUUUGUCUUAAAAAAAAAAUAAAGCUUUACCAAAAUUUCAUAUGUGAAUUGUCAUUGACUGCUCACAUGGUCCGGUCCUCAGACAGCCAAGUGCCACACUGGGACAGGGCCUUCCACUUUUGCUCACAUGGAACUUGUGGCCAUGCAUCUCAGGUUGUGUGUGCCCUGUUAGGUAGCCUCACCGAUUAUAUUAGCAGCUUUCUAAAACCAAUCCUCACAAAAUGGACAAGCGGCUUUAAAAGAAAAUCCUGUAAAGAAACAUCUGACUGAGGAUAAUACUCUUAACCCAAGCACAAGGGAGCAAGAACAUACCAGAGCACUUCUCCUCCACCCAGUAUGAGCUCUUAAUCAGCCACAUAAGGAGGCAAAAACAACGGUGAUCUAAGCAGGUCUUAUUUGGAGUAAGCCAAAAAAUUCAAAAUUAUCAAGAAAACUUUGAGAUAAGGAUUUAUGUCCACUAUAAUUAACAGCAAACCUCACCAUAUGCGAAUUUUGGAUACUGAGCAGUGAGCCUUGUGGCGUGUCUUUCUCAGCAUGACAGUCAAGCCCAGCGUUGAGACACACUCAACUUAGGACUGAUCUUUCAAAUUGCUUUAUCACAAAGUGUUAAACCAACAUUUCCAAAAAUAAAGAACCAUAUUCAAACACCUUUCUCUCAUGGAGCAGAAGUUUUUAUAUGAUUAUUACAUUUAAAGAAUUACUUUUAAAAUAAUGUUAUAUUCUAAUCUUACCCUUUUAUUUUAUUUUAUUUUUAAAGAUUGGCACCUGAGCUAACAACUGUAGCCAAUCUUCUUCUUUUUUUUUUUCCGCUUUUUUUUCUCCCCAAAUCCCCCCAGUACAUAGUUGUAUAUUUUAGUUGUGGGUCCUUCUAGUUGCGGCAUGUGGGACGCCACCUCAACAUGGCCUAAUGAGCCGUGCCAUGUCUGCGCCCAGGAUCCGAACCCUGGGCCGCCAAACCAGAGCACGUGAACUUAACCACUCAGCCACGGGGCUGGCCCUCGAAUCUUAUCCUUUUAAAUAUCUUUUUGUACAUGUUUUACAAUAUACAUGUUAGCACAAUAGCACAUGUAUAUAAUAAAUAAACAUUAAAUAAAAAUAUAAAUACAUCAAAUAUAAAGUAAAUAGCAUAAAAUAUAAAAUAAAAUAUAAACAUUAUAUAAAAAUAUAAAUACAUUGGAGGUGCAUGCUCAAGUUUCUUUUUCUCACAGGAUACAAAUCAUAAAAGGCUGCAUUCCACUGAUGUAGGUGAGCGGUGACAGUGAUGUGGACUAGAGAGGGGAGGUGGAAAUGGAAAGAAGCCAUCCAUUCUUAGAUAUGUUGUGGGGGGAUUUCCAAUGACACUUGCUGAGGGCUUAGAUAUAGGACAUAAGAGAGAAGCAGGAACCGAUGAAAACUCCCAGAUUUCUGGCUUGAGCAACUGGAGGAUGGCAGUUCUACCUAAGGGAAAAGCAAGAAAAUCAAAGACUAGUGUUGGACAUGUUGCAUGUGCGCAAUUAAAAGGUAAAGUUCUGAGGAGGCGUCUGCGACUGAGACAUGGAUUUGGAAGUUUUCAACUGUAGAUGCUGUAGGUAAAGGUUGGCAUCGCCCAUGGAGACCAGAGAAGGGGAUCAGGGAAGAGUCCUGGGGAGCCCUUUGAGGACAAAUGGAAUAGAAGUCGCUGGCAAAGAAGGCAGAAAACCGGGGAAAUACCCAGGAGAAGAGAAAAUAUUAUGAAAGGAUGAAUGCUCUGACCACGUGGUAUCCUCCUGAAACUCUACCAAAAUGGCAAUAAAGGAAUAAAACAAGUACAAAGCCACAAGAACAAAGAAAGCAAGAGAAGAGAGUGGAUGAACGUAGAGCUUAACAACAUUUGGAAAGAUGUAAACCAAAAAGAGAAGUAGCAACUAAGGUAGAAGUCAGUAGCAGUUGAGGUCAGAGUGUGGGGUUCAAAAGAAUGAUUUUGGGGUGGCUGGAUGAGGUGGAAGAAAAUAGGUCCUUGGGGGUGAGGAAGUCAAAGGUCUAAAGUCUAUGAGGUCUGGGCAAGGACAGGUUGUCUGCAAAGAGGAGACAUCUCUGAGAUUAUGCAGAUGGUAGCAGGUAUGUAUGAAAUCUGUGAUGCCAUUGGUGGGACAAUGACAUAUAGAUUAUGCAGAGUGUAGAAUUUACAUAUCAUAGAAUAUAUAUAAUAUUAUAUGCAUUAUAGAAUGUUUAUAUACACACACAUAACAUUUCUGGGAGAAUACACACAAAGCUGUUUUAAAAAAUUUAGACCCUCCUAUAUUAUUGAGAGUGUUUACCAUGAACAUAAAGGACUUUUAAAAUAAGAAAAAAGUUUUUCAUUAGUUCCUUCUGAUAGUUUUCAUAUCAGGACUGUAAUGUCUUUCUUAGUUACAUCUUACAUUACAUUUGGGGUAUGGUUUAAGUUUCUAGAUUCUGAAGCUUUUGAACACAAAUUUCCUAUACAUCUUUAAUGGGAUCUAUUCUAAGGACCAAAAAAAAAAAAAAACGAAAACAAAACUGUGCUUUCUAUGAAGAAAACUAUUGUUUGUUUCUGAGUCAACUCAGAGCUUGAACUGAUUCUAUCUUCUGUUUUGAAGGUAACAUUCCUUAGAGUGUAGGAUGGGGCAAUUGAACCAGCAGGGAGGUUUGUCAUCACCUAGUUGCAUGGUAUUACCUGGGUUAUUUAAUUUCCUCGUCUGCAAAAUGGAAAGGAUACUCUACCUGCCUCACAGGUUGGAUGUGACCUUUUUGUUUUUCCCCGAGGAAGAUUCACCCUGAGCUAACAUCUGCUGCCAAUCCUCCUCUUUUUGCUGAGGAAGACUGGCCCUGAGCUAACAUCCACGCCCAUCUUCCUCUACUUUAUAUGUGGGAUGCCUGCCACAGCAUGGCUUGAUAAGCGGUAUGUAGGGCUGCACCCGGGAUCCGAACCCAUGAACCCUGGGCCGUAUAUGGGUUAUUUAAAAAGCCUCUUAAGAGACCUUCUUGCUUUUGCCACAUACAGACCAUUCUCAGCCAGCUGCAGAAAGACCCUAAAUGUUGUCAAACCAUUUUACUUUACUCAAAAAAACCCCCAGUGUCUCACCAUCUCACUCAAAGAAGCUAAAAUCCUUACAAUGAGCUCCCAGAUCCCCUCCUACUCUGCCCCCAACCUUACUCCCACCCCCAUGUCUUUCUGACUUUUUCUCCUGACUUUUCUUCCUCUUCCCUCUGCUCCAAGCGCACACCCCUCAGAGCUCUGCACUGGCUCUUCUCAGCCUACAGCACUUUCCCGUGAUAGCCACAGGCCCACCCGUCAAAGCCUUUCAGAGCUUUGUUCGAAGGUCACCCUCUCUAGCCACUUCAUUUAAAUUUGCAGCAUGAACUAUCCCUCAUCUUCCUUCUCUGCUUAACUUAUUUUCUAUAGUACUUGUAUUUAUUACCACCAUCUUUUUAUUUCACUUCAUUUAAGUGGUAGGACUAAAACUUUUACUCCCAGUCCAAUAUCUUCUAAUUAUUUUUUCUAAAUAAUACAGUAAAAAAAAUCAAACAGUUUUUGUUAAAUAAGAGAACGAGGGGCCAGCCCAGUGGCACAGCGGUUAAGUUCGCACGUUCCGAUUCAGUGGCCCGGGGUUUGCCUGUUCGGAUCCCGGGUGCGGACAUGGCACCACUUGGCAAGCCAUGCUGUGGUAGGCGUCCCACACAUAAAGUAGAGGAAGAUGGGCAUGAAUGUUAGCUCAGGGCCAGUCUUCCUCAGCAAAAGGAGGAGGAUUGGCAGUAGUUAGCUCAGAGCUAAUCUUCCUCAAAUAAAUAAAUAAAUAAAUAAAUAAAUAAAGAGAAUGAGAGAAGAAUAAUGACUCUAUGGACAAUGAAAGCACACCAGAAAAACAUAUCCGAAAAAGAAAUGAAAACUAUAGCCAUCAUAAUAUUCCAGAAUGAGCUAAAAGAAAAUGACAGAAACUAUAAGAGAAAAGAUAGAUUACAAUGAGAAAAACUCUGAAAUGAAGUGAUUUGAAAAAAGAUUCAAAAAGAGAGAUAAGAAAAACCCAGGAAAGAUCAGAAAUAAAUGAAAAUGGUCAUUUCAAAAAUGAAGACUAGAGUGAAUAAACACAAGAAAUUAUGUUUUAAAAGAAAUGGGAGGGGGCUGGGCCGGUGGCCGGUGGUUAAGUUCGGCAUGCUCUGCUUCGGUGGUCCUGGUUCCAUUCCCAGGAGCAGGCCCACACCACUUGUCAGCAGCCAUACUGUGGCGGCAACCCACAUACAAAAUAGAGAAAGACUGGCACAGAGGUUAAGUCAGGGUGAAUUUUCCUCAAGCAAAAAGAGAAAGAUUAGCAACAGAUGUUAGCUUAGGGCGAAUCUUCCUCAGGCAAAAAAAAAAAAAAAACAAGAAAGAAAGAAAUGGGAAAGGAAAAUGUUAAAAAUAAAAAGAGAGCUUGAGGAAAAAAUAAAGAAUUCAAGAAGAAAUGAAAUCUACAGAAGACGAAGAUUCAACAUAUAUAAAGAGGUUCUUAAAGUAAUGGAAUAAAUACUAAAAACCAUAAUCCAAGAAAAUUUCCUUGAGACAAAAGAAAACCUGAAACUAAAUACUGAAAAGGCACACUAUGUAUCUGGGAAAACUGACCCAAGAGGCCAACACUGAGACACAGUCUAGUAAAAUUAUUGGACCUAACCAAAAAGAAAAAAAAUACUUCAGCUAUCAGGCAAAAAGAACAAGUCACUUACAAAGGAAAGAAAAUAAGAUUACUGUUAGACGGUAUGAUAGCAAUGCUUUAUGCCAGAAGACAAGAAACAUAUUUAAGAUACUUAAUAUGAGGUAAAGCUUUUAUAUCCAGACAAACCGAUCUUCAAAUAUCAAGACCAUAGACAAACAGUUAGGAAAAUGUAAGAAAUCAGAAUAGUCUCUCCAUGAGCCCUUCCUAAGGAAUCUACUAGAGAAGAGAGGUUCAGAUAACCAAAACGAGGGGGAGGCAUUGGCAUGAGAAAUUGUAGCAAUGAUCAUCUAUGAUGGAUAACAUCAAAAAAGGACAGAUCGUUGUACAUCAGGUACUUCCUGAUGGAAAUGCACACCACCACCUAUGAAGGAUUCUUGUCAAACACUAAAUAUGAAAUAUGAAUCUGAUCAAGCCUAGAUCUAAGUACUAAUUUACAGGAAAUAGAGCACACAGGAACACAUUAAAUGACAAAAUUCAGAGUGGGAUACUCUUCAGGACAAAGGACCUGGUCUCUUCAAGAACAACAAAACUGCAAGAAAAAAAGAGGUAAGUAUUAAAAAGAGACGAGAUACUUAAUGAUCAAUUGCAAUGUUUGGAUCCUGAUUCAAAUAAACUGUGUAAAAUGUAUAAUACAAUAGGUUAAAUGUGAACACUAUUAGAUAACUGGUAUUAAGGAAUUAUUCAUUUUGUGUAUGUGAUGUGGCACUUGAGUUAUGUAACAGCAGAGUAUUUAUCUUUUAAAGAUAUAUACUGAAAUAUUUUCACAUGAAUAUGUCUGUGGUUUGUUUCUAAAAAAAUUAGGGGGUAGUGGGUGGGAGCAUAGAGGAAAUAAGCUUAAGUUUGAGUAGAUAAUUGUUCACACUGGG
Molecule: long non-coding RNA, 6781 nt
Organism: Equus caballus (horse)
Lineage: Eukaryota; Metazoa; Chordata; Mammalia; Perissodactyla; Equidae
Source: Ensembl